AUGAAGCCCAGCUUGCUGGGUGGAUUAGUGGCGAACGGGUGAGUAACACGUGAGUAACCUGCCCUUAACUCUGGGAUAAGCCUGGGAAACUGGGUCUAAUACCGGAUAGGAGCGUCCACCGCAUGGUGGGUGUUGGAAAGAUUUAUCGGUUUUGGAUGGACUCGCGGCCUAUCAGCUUGUUGGUGAGGUAAUGGCUCACCAAGGCGACGACGGGUAGCCGGCCUGAGAGGGUGACCGGCCACACUGGGACUGGGACACGGCCCAGACUCCUACGGGAGGCAGCAGUGGGGGAUAUUGCACAAUGGGCGAAAGCCUGAUGCAGCGACGCCGCGUGAGGGAUGACGGCCUUCGGGUUGUAAACCUCUUUCAGUAGGGAAGAAGCGAAAGUGACGGUACCUGCAGAAGAAGCACCGGCUAACUACGUGCCAGCCGCCGCGGUAA
RNAcentral lists this ribosomal RNA (441 nucleotides) under uncultured Actinomycetales bacterium. RNAcentral's name for it is "bacterial SSU rRNA". It matches the Rfam family "Bacterial small subunit ribosomal RNA", at positions 69 to 523 of the family's 1533-position model. Lineage: Bacteria; Bacillati; Actinomycetota; Actinomycetes; Actinomycetales. The record is from RNAcentral.